ACGCUCGACACCUACUGGAGGCAGCAGUGGGGAAUAUUGCACAAUGGGGGAAACCCUGAUGCAGCGACGCCGCGUGGAGGAAGAAGGUCUUCGGAUUGUAAACUCCUGUUGUUGGGGAAAAAGAGGAUGGUACCCAACAAGGAAGUGACGGCUAACUACGUGGCAGCAGCCGCGGUAAUCUGAGCGGGCUGGCAAGGC
Molecule: ribosomal RNA, 198 nt
Filed under: uncultured bacterium
Lineage: Bacteria
Description: partial 16S ribosomal RNA
Rfam family: Bacterial small subunit ribosomal RNA
Source: RNAcentral